UUCAUCCAAAGCUCUCAUCUUCUCUUCCACUGUGAUUGCCCGCUCACAGCAGAGCUGUAAUCAGCAAAGGUGCAUGUGGACAAGUUGUCUUGCAUCUUCUCAUUAAGUCCUCAAAGAUAGUAGUCCCUCUUCUUAGAUUCAGUGUUCACGUGCUCAAGAGCAUACCGGGCUAGAUGGUCAAAUUCAUUUGUAUACUCCAGAGCACUCUUGUUCCCCUGCUGAAGUUUCAAAAAUUGCUCCAACUUCAUCCUUAUAAUGCCCUCUGGCACAAACUGGGCAUGGAAUGCCAUCUUGAAAUCAUCCUAAGUUAUUAC
Molecule: long non-coding RNA, 314 nt
Filed under: Setaria viridis
Lineage: Eukaryota; Viridiplantae; Streptophyta; Magnoliopsida; Poales; Poaceae
Description: long non-coding RNA (SVIR_LNC000531)
Source: RNAcentral